Molecule: RNase P RNA, 437 nt
Filed under: Alphaproteobacteria bacterium HGW-Alphaproteobacteria-14
Lineage: Bacteria; Pseudomonadati; Pseudomonadota; Alphaproteobacteria
Description: RNase P RNA component class A
Rfam family: Bacterial RNase P class A
About the family: Ribonuclease P (RNase P) is a ubiquitous endoribonuclease, found in archaea, bacteria and eukarya as well as chloroplasts and mitochondria. Its best characterised activity is the generation of mature 5'-ends of tRNAs by cleaving the 5'-leader elements of precursor-tRNAs.
Source: RNAcentral
AGGGGGCCUGAGGCAGCCGCGUGUCCGCUUUUGCGAAAGCAGGGGGGACGCGAGGAAAGUCCGGGCUCCACGAAACAAGGGUGGCGGGUAACGCCCGCCGGUCGCCUGCAAGGGCGGCAAGGGAAAGUGCCACAGAGAGCAAACCGCCGAUGGCCCCGGACUUGUCCGGGGGCAGGCAAGGGUGAAAGGGUGCGGUAAGAGCGCACCGGGGCACUGGCAACAGGGCUCGCAUGGCAAACCCCACCCGGAGCAAGGCCGAAUAGGGGCCGCGCGCCCGUCAGCAAUGGCAGGUAGGGGUGUUUCGCCCUGAGCGGCCCGGGUUGGCUGCUAGAGCACAGGAGCAAUCCUGCGCCCAGAUGAAUGGCUGCUACCCUGGAACCGGUCCGCAAGGAUACCGACCGGGGACACAGAACCCGGCUUAUGAUGGCCCCCUGAUA